GACAGAGGGUGCAAGCGUUAAUCGGAAUUACUGGGCGUAAAGCGCGCGUAGGUGGUUUGUUAAGUUGGAUGUGAAAUCCCCGGGCUCAACCUGGGAACUGCAUUCAAAACUGACAAGCUAGAGUAUGGUAGAGGGUGGUGGAAUUUCCUGUGUAGCGGUGAAAUGCGUAGAUAUAGGAAGGAACACCAGUGGCGAAGGCGACCACCUGGACUGAUACUGACACUGAGGUGCGAAAGCGUGGGGAGCAAACAGG
RNAcentral lists this ribosomal RNA (253 nucleotides) under uncultured bacterium. RNAcentral's name for it is "partial 16S ribosomal RNA". It matches the Rfam family "Bacterial small subunit ribosomal RNA", at positions 524 to 776 of the family's 1533-position model. The record is from RNAcentral.